UGCGGCAGCUACCAUGCAGUCGAGCGAGACCUUCAGGUCUAGCGGCGGACGGGUUAGUAACGCGUGGGAACGUGCCCUUCUCUGCGGAAUAGCCACUGGAAACGGUGAGUAAUGCCGCAUACGCCCUUCGGGGGAAAGAUUUGUCGGAGAAGGAUCGGCCCGCGUUAGAUUAGAUAGUUGGUGGGGUAACGGCCUACCAAGUCUACGAUCUAUAGCUGGUUUUAGAGGAUGAUCAGCAACACUGGGACUGAGACACGGCCCAGACUCCUACGGGAGGCAGCAGUGGGGAAUCUUAGACAAUGGGCGCAAGCCUGAUCUAGCCAUGCCGCGUGUGUGAUGAAGGUCUUAGGAUCGUAAAGCACUUUCGCCAGGGAUGGUAAUGACAGUACCUGGUAAAGAAACCCCGGCUAACUCCGUGCCAGCAGCCGCGGUAA
This 434-nucleotide ribosomal RNA is filed under the name uncultured Sulfitobacter sp. RNAcentral's name for it is "bacterial SSU rRNA". It matches the Rfam family "Bacterial small subunit ribosomal RNA", at positions 39 to 523 of the family's 1533-position model. Lineage: Bacteria; Pseudomonadati; Pseudomonadota; Alphaproteobacteria; Rhodobacterales; Roseobacteraceae. The record is from RNAcentral.